RNAcentral lists this ribosomal RNA (506 nucleotides) under uncultured bacterium. RNAcentral's name for it is "partial 16S ribosomal RNA". It matches the Rfam family "Bacterial small subunit ribosomal RNA", at positions 30 to 523 of the family's 1533-position model. The record is from RNAcentral.
AUUGAACGCUGGCGGUAUGCUUAACACAUGCAAGUCGAACGGCAGCAUGGUCUAGCUUGCUAGACUGAUGGCGAGUGGCGGACGGGUGAGUAACGCGUAGGAAUAUGCCUUGAAGAGUGGGACAACUUGGGGAAACUCAAGCUAAUACCGCCUGUACUCGAGAGAGUAAAGCUGGGGACCUUUAGUCCUGGCGCUUUAAGAUUAGCCUGCGUCCGAUUAGCUAGUUGGUAGGGUAAAGGCCUACCAAGGCGACGAUCGGUAGCUGGUCUGAGAGGAUGAUCAGCCACACUGGAACUGAGAGACGGUCCAGACUCCUACGGGAGGCAGCAGUGGGGAAUAUUGGACAAUGGGGGGAACCCUGAUUCAGCAAUGCCGCGUGUGUGAAGAAGGCCUGAGGGUUGUAAAGCACUUUCAGUGGGGAGGAGGUUUGGAAGGUUAAGAGCUAUUCAAAUGGACGUUACCCACAGAAGAAGCACCGGCUAACUCCGUGCCAGCCGCCGCGGUAA